GUGGGGAAUAUUGGACAAUGGGCGAAAGCCUGAUCCAGCCAUGCCGCGUGUGUGAAGAAGGCCUUUUGGUUGUAAAGCACUUUAAGCGAGGAGGAGGCUACCGAGAUUAAUACUCUUGGAUAGUGGACGUUACUCGCAGAAUAAGCACCGGCUAACUCUGUGCCAGCAGCCGCGGUAAGACAGAGGGUGCGAGCGUUAAUCGGAUUUACUGGGCGUAAAGCGUGAGUAGGCGGCUUUUUAAGUCGGAUGUGAAAUCCCUGAGCUUAACUUAGGAAUUGCAUUCGAUACUGGGAAGCUAGAGUAUGGGAGAGGAUGGUAGAAUUCCAGGUGUAGCGGUGAAAUGCGUAGAGAUCUGGAGGAAUACCGAUGGCGAAGGCAGCCAUCUGGCCUAAUACUGACGCUGAGGUACGAAAGCAUGGGGAGCAAACAGGAUUAGAUACCCGGGUAGUCC
RNAcentral lists this ribosomal RNA (451 nucleotides) under uncultured bacterium. RNAcentral's name for it is "partial 16S ribosomal RNA". It matches the Rfam family "Bacterial small subunit ribosomal RNA", at positions 354 to 796 of the family's 1533-position model. The record is from RNAcentral.